RNAcentral lists this ribosomal RNA (254 nucleotides) under uncultured bacterium. RNAcentral describes it as "partial 16S ribosomal RNA". It matches the Rfam family "Bacterial small subunit ribosomal RNA", at positions 524 to 776 of the family's 1533-position model. The record is from RNAcentral.
UACAGAGGUGGCAAGCGUUGUUCGGAAUUACUGGGCGUAAAGGGCGCGUAGGCGGUCUUGUAAGUCUUGUGUGAAAUCCCUCGGCUCAACUGAGGAACUGCACGGGAUACUGCGAGGCUUGAGUUCGGGAGAGGGAAGCGGAAUUCCGGGUGUAGCGGUGAAAUGCGUAGAUAUCCGGAGGAACACCGGUGGCGAAGGCGGCUUCCUGGACCGAUUACUGACGCUGAGGCGCGAAAGCUAGGGGAGCAAACGGG